Molecule: long non-coding RNA, 431 nt
Filed under: Ananas comosus (pineapple)
Lineage: Eukaryota; Viridiplantae; Streptophyta; Magnoliopsida; Poales; Bromeliaceae
Description: long non-coding RNA (ACOM_LNC043523)
Source: RNAcentral
AUGAAUAUAUUAUUGUAGAACGCAGCGGAAGUUUUCGGUUCGUACCUUUUUGCGGAAGCGAUUCGAGCCGGAUCGGAUUGAUUGAUUUACGUGUCUUUGAAUCUUCCUUGAAAAUCUUCUAACUCUUCGAACUCGCGGUGGAUCGAACUACAAACGAGCGCGAUCGCAAAUCCACCGUGCAAGUCCCUCUAGAAUAAUAGGUCAAUGGAGGAUGUGGUUUCUCUCUAUUAUUUUCUUAUUCUCUCUCUUUUUCCGUUCUUUCCGUAUAUAUUCCGUUAUGUGGGAUCGCCCGCAUAUUUAUAAGGAAUUCCAAAAUCCUAAUAGCGUUAGAGAUAAGGCUAAAUCGGUUAUUAUUUGUUAUCCUAAUAUGAUUAGAUUUAUCUCUAAUUAGCUUUCCAAUUUGAAAGCGAGAUUAAUCCUAAUCCAAUUAG